GUGCUUGCUUCGGCAGCACAUAUACUAAAACUGGAAUGAUACAGAGAAGAUUAGCUUGGCCCCUGCAUAGCAUGACACGCAAAUUCAUGAGGCAUUCCAUAUUUUU
Mesoplodon densirostris (Blainville's beaked whale) is the source of this 106-nucleotide small nuclear RNA. The record is from RefSeq and is a predicted model, not a curated record. NCBI's taxonomy places the organism in Eukaryota, Metazoa, Chordata, Mammalia, Artiodactyla, Ziphiidae.